This 414-nucleotide long non-coding RNA is filed under the name Vigna radiata. Its description in RNAcentral is "long non-coding RNA (VRAD_LNC005477)". The record is from RNAcentral. Lineage: Eukaryota; Viridiplantae; Streptophyta; Magnoliopsida; Fabales; Fabaceae.
UUUCCACUUUUUCAUUCAAUCAAAUAUUAAGUUUAAAGCAUUUUCUUGGAGUGCCACGGUCCAGCUUUUUCAUUCAAUCAAAUAUUAUAGUUUAAAGCAUUUUCUUGGUGUGCACGGACCUGGAAGCUUAUUUAUUUUUCGUUGCUUUCAUUUUGGAGAAAAGCUUAUUUAUUUUUCAUUUCUUUCAUUUUGGAGAAAAGUUACACGGUACUUCAUUAUGGGUAAGUGGCGCAUGGUGAUUUUUAUUUGGAGAAAAAGUGUGGUUCACAUCCAGCGGAGGAGAAAAAGUUUUUCAAUUUUAUGGAAGCACACAGCUGAUUUUUUUUUAGAAGUUUUAUACCUUUUCUUCUAGAAUGAAGUAGCUUAGUGAUUUUAUUUUCAAUGUCAUGCGUUUUUAUUUUUGCUAUUCCCGCU